GACGAACGCUGGCGGCGUGCCUAAUACAUGCAAGUAGAACGCUGAAGGAGGAGCUUGCUCUUCUGGAUGAGUUGCGAACGGGUGAGUAACGCGUAGGUAACCUGCCUGGUAGCGGGGGAUAACUAUUGGAAACGAUAGCUAAUACCGCAUAACAGUAGAUGUUGCAUGACAUUUACUUAAAAGGUGCAAUUGCAUCACUACCAGAUGGACCUGCGUUGUAUUAGCUAGUUGGUGGGGUAACGGCUCACCAAGGCGACGAUACAUAGCCGACCUGAGAGGGGGAUCGGCCACACUGGGACUGAGACACGGCCCAGACUCCUACGGGAGGCAGCAGUAGGGAAUCUUCGGCAAUGGACGGAAGUCUGACCGAGCAACGCCGCGUGAGUGAAGAAGGUUUUCGGAUCGUAAAGCUCUGUUGUAAGAGAAGAACGAGUGUGAGAGUGGAAAGUUCACACUGUGACGGUAUCUUACCAGAAAGGGACGGCUAACUACGU
Molecule: ribosomal RNA, 494 nt
Filed under: uncultured bacterium
Lineage: Bacteria
Description: partial 16S ribosomal RNA
Rfam family: Bacterial small subunit ribosomal RNA
Source: RNAcentral